UUAAUUUAAGUGAAUAAUCACGUUAACCUUUGAAGCUAAAAAAAUUAAUUAGAUUUAAUAAAUUAAA
RNAcentral lists this transfer RNA (67 nucleotides) under Siphoninus phillyreae (ash whitefly). RNAcentral's name for it is "tRNA-Gln". The record is from RNAcentral. Lineage: Eukaryota; Metazoa; Arthropoda; Insecta; Hemiptera; Aleyrodidae.